AGCAUGCUUACACAUUUUUUUUUUGUUGUUUUGUUUUGAUUGUACACUAAUUUAAGUUGGAAAUAUUUAUACCUUAAAAUUUCAAUGUCAUGCCAUCCCAUUCAUUUAAGGCUUGUGAUAGUGCCUUAAAAAAAUCAAAUGUAACAUGGAUGGGGGGGAGGAGAGGAGUGGAAAGUGUAACAAUGCCAUCUUUGAUUUACAAAUUAAUUCCAUAAAUAAUAGGAUUUGCCUCCUGCGCUCUGCUUUGAAAGGUGCUUUGGUGUCUCAUUUCGCUGUAACAUUUUACUCUGCUUGUUCCUCUUCAUCUUGCCUGGUGAGUGGGGGAGACUGCUGUGCUUCUUUGGUUGGGGCCUGUCUCUUCUGUCAGGGCUAGGGAGCACAUCCUGAGCUGUCUUUAGGUGAGGCUUCUCCUGUGGUGGACCUCCUGCCACGAUGCUGCCCCUGCCUCCUUUGGGGACUGCAGGAACAGUCAUGCUGGGGACCUUUCAGCUCUUUGGAUUUCAAAGGUGCCUUUGGACUCUUGCUGAGCCAGAUUGGUCAAGUGCCAGGAGAAUUGCUGCACAGGAUCCCAUUCCUGUGAAACUGUCACCCAAAGGGCUGUCAGCCCCCUCUUGGGGUGUUUGUUUACUCCCUCUGCCAUGAAGACUUUGGGUCACAGAUGACCCUGCCAACCUCCUAGGUCUCUGUAAUAAGCUGAUAUCAGUGACUAGAAGCAUCAGAGGAGGCCAGGGUAUGGCCUGCCUCUCUUCUCCUCUUCAUUGUAAAGUCUCACAGAAUCACUCAGUGGAUGUGUUAGGGUUUUAAAAAAGAAUAAUUUAUUUUCAUAAUAUAAUUUGCACAAUGUUUAAACCAAGGACAAAUAAAAAGUGAAAUAAACAGCUGGGAAAAUAAAAUUAGGAAAAAUAUCAAGCACUUGGUGAAGAUUUUUUUUAGUCAUUUUUUUUUCAAAU
RNAcentral lists this long non-coding RNA (950 nucleotides) under Marmota monax (woodchuck). The record is from RNAcentral. Lineage: Eukaryota; Metazoa; Chordata; Mammalia; Rodentia; Sciuridae.